UACGUAGGGUGCAAGCGUUGUCCGGAAUUAUUGGGCGUAAAGCGCUCGCAGGCGGUCCGAUGCGUCGUGCGUGAAAGACCCCGGCUCAACUGGGGAGGGUCGUGCGAUACGGUCGGACUCGAGGCCAGUAGGGGGACGCGGAAUUCCUGGUGUAGCGGUGAAAUGCGCAGAUAUCAGGAGGAACACCGAUGGCGAAGGCAGGUCUCUGGGCAUUAACUGACGCUGAGGAGCGAAAGCAUGGGGAGCGAACAGG
Molecule: ribosomal RNA, 253 nt
Filed under: uncultured bacterium
Lineage: Bacteria
Description: partial 16S ribosomal RNA
Rfam family: Bacterial small subunit ribosomal RNA
Source: RNAcentral